UAGUGAAUUACUUACACAAUGGGGAAGCACAUCAAGCACAAUGCCCAACUUUUCAUCUUACUUUCCAUGGUUCUUCUAAGCUGCAUGGUUUCUUCAGCCGUACAGGACAGAGCAUUGAUGACAAGGGGAGCAGCACAACGGCUAUACGGCCUAACGAUGACCCCGACUAUGUGAGAGAGACGAAGUUGAAGUGGCCGCGGAAACGACAGUACUGCUGCAACUAUUUUGCAUAUACUGGUCCAUGCUACGAUGACUAUACGUUCUGCAAAGCCCAUUGCCCAUGAUUCAACACAAUUCCCAUGAAUAGUUUUCAUGUAAUAAGGAAGAGAUGAUAUGCAAUAAGUUUUCCUAUCAAUAUUUACUUUUCCAAUUGCUCAAAUGAAUAAAGAUAUGAUUUCCUAAA
Aegilops tauschii subsp. strangulata is the source of this 403-nucleotide long non-coding RNA. RefSeq lists it as uncharacterized. NCBI's taxonomy places the organism in Eukaryota, Viridiplantae, Streptophyta, Magnoliopsida, Poales, Poaceae. The record is from RefSeq and is a predicted model, not a curated record.